Molecule: ribosomal RNA, 253 nt
Filed under: uncultured bacterium
Lineage: Bacteria
Description: partial 16S ribosomal RNA
Rfam family: Bacterial small subunit ribosomal RNA
Source: RNAcentral
GACAGAGGUGCCGAGCGUUAGGCGGAAUCACUGGGCUUAAAGCGUGUGUAGGCGGACCGUUAAGUACCUUGUGAAAUCCCCCGGCUCAACCGGGGAACGGCUGGGUAUACUGGCGGUCUUGAGCCAUCCAGGGGCAGUCGGAACAGACGGUGGAGCGGCGAAAUGCGUAGAUAUCGUCUGGAACGCCGAAGGUGAAAACAGACUGCUGGGGAUGAGCUGACGCUGAGACACGAAAGCCAGGGGAGCGAACGGG